RNAcentral lists this ribosomal RNA (482 nucleotides) under uncultured bacterium. RNAcentral's name for it is "partial 16S ribosomal RNA". It matches the Rfam family "Bacterial small subunit ribosomal RNA", at positions 30 to 507 of the family's 1533-position model. The record is from RNAcentral.
AUUGAACGCUGGCGGCAUGCUUUACACAUGCAAGUCGAACGGUAACAGGCCGCAAGGUGCUGACGAGUGGCGGACGGGUGAGUAAUGCAUCGGAACGUGCCCAGUCGUGGGGGAUAACUACUCGAAAGAGUAGCUAAUACCGCAUACGAUCUAUGGAUGAAAGCGGGGGACCGUAAGGCCUCGCGCGAUUGGAGCGGCCGAUGUCAGAUUAGGUAGUUGGUGGGGUAAAGGCUCACCAAGCCAACGAUCUGUAGCUGGUCUGAGAGGACGACCAGCCACACUGGGACGUAGACACGGCCCAGACGCCUGCGGGAGGGAGCAGUGGGGAAUUUUGGGCAAUGGGCGGAAGCCUGAUCCAGCAAUGCCGCGUGCAGGAAGAAGGCCUUCGGGUUGUAAACUGCUUUUGUACGGAACGAAACGGCUCUGGUUAAUACCCGGGGCUAAUGACGGUACCGUAAGAAUAAGCACCGGCUAACUACGUG